Molecule: non-coding RNA, 270 nt
Organism: Delphinapterus leucas (beluga whale)
Lineage: Eukaryota; Metazoa; Chordata; Mammalia; Artiodactyla; Monodontidae
Source: RefSeq, a predicted model, not a curated record
AUGGAAGUAGCAAGGGCUUCGCAGAGGUGGUGCUGCACAUCGGAAUGCGCAACAGCUCAGAGCUACCACAGUGGCACACAGUAGGAGAGACCAAUACUCAGAAGAAGGAACAGAAUCAUAUCUGUCCUGAGCUCAAGAGGAGACUCCCAGAAACCACUGUGCUUUUGCUUGCUGCUGGUCAGGCAAAAUGAACCUGGUUCUGUAACAAAUGUAACUGGGAGCUGGAUUUUCUAAAAAAAAAAGCAGUUUGACUGGAGGACCAAAAGGACU